RNAcentral lists this ribosomal RNA (256 nucleotides) under uncultured bacterium. RNAcentral describes it as "partial 16S ribosomal RNA". It matches the Rfam family "Bacterial small subunit ribosomal RNA", at positions 101 to 353 of the family's 1533-position model. The record is from RNAcentral.
AACGGGUGAGUAACGCGUGAGGAACCUGCCUCAAAGAGGGGGACAACAGUUGGAAACGACUGCUAAUACCGCAUAAGUCCACGGUGCCGCAUGGCACAGAGGGAAAAGGAGCAAUCCGCUUUGAGAUGGCCUCGCGUCCGAUUAGCUAGUUGGUGAGGUAACGGCCCACCAAGGCAACGAUCGGUAGCCGGACUGAGAGGUUGAACGGCCACAUUGGGACUGAGACACGGCCCAGACUCCUACGGGAGGCAGCAUG